UACCACAGUAAUAAAAUACUCAUCCUUUUCACUCCACAGUUGAGCCAAACCCGGGGGUAUCGCAUUUGUCUUUCUCUCACUCUAAAUUACCCAGUGUCAUUGGCAGCACCCAUCUCAGUCUGUAGUUCUGAAUUUCUCCUUCCUCUUAAAACUCGAACAUCACAGCCACGGCUCUGCCCUCCAGGUCCUCAUGCUCUGAGCUUUCCUGAUUGUCCAGUCCCUCUCUCAGCCUUGACAAGGGCUGUUUUUACUUUCCCUUCACUUAUAUUUUCCUUAGCUUUGCUAAUGUUGUUGGCAUUUUCGGAGAAUGGACUCUUGAGUUUUACUGAUCAAACUAUUUUUCUUCUAAUAAAUUGAUGCAGCCCUUUUUAUUUUUUUUACUUUUUUUCGUUUGACAUUUUAUAAUUUUUUUUAACUUUUGAAUUUCAUUUUUACUUCACUAAUUCCCUUAUACUUGAAGUACAUUUAAGGCUGUACAAUAUCUUCUGAUUUCCUUCUGAUCUCACCUCACAGGUUUUGAAAUAUAGUGCUAUUCUUGCACUUAAUCAUUUUUAAAGAAUCUGUGAUUCUACAUACAUUUUUUGAUAUUUUAAACCCCAGAUGUGUUUUAAAAAAUAAAUUUUCACAGUGGAUAAUAUUUUUGUCAGUUUUAUUUUAUUUUUAUUUUUUUUGGGGGGUACUGGGGAUUGAACUCAGGAGCACUGGACCACUGAGCCGCAUCCCCAGCCCUAUUUUGUAUUUUAUUUAAAGACAGGGUCUCAGGGAAUUGCUUAGCAGCUCACUAAAUCACUGAGGUUGGCUUUGAACUCACCAUCCUCCUGCCUCCGCCUCCUGAGCUGCUGGGAUUACAGGCAUGCGCCAUGGCGACUGGCCUAAAAAUUUUUUUGAAUGUUAGUUUUGUGCUAUUUUUGUUGGUCGUGAAACUAUUCUAAGCAGCUGGGCUAAUGAACUGCUUGUUACCCAGUGGCACUGAGAUAAGAUAUUCACCCCAGGACUUUAGUCAAUGUUCCUCUUCCUUCAAAAUAAAUAUUUUUAUUUAAUGAAGCAAAAAAGGUCAGCUGAACUGAACUGUGUGCUGAGUGAUAGAACUGAUCCAUGGUCUGCCGUGAUCUUCUAACUCCUGCAGCCUGGCAGGUUCCUAGACCCACACUGACUCUCUUUUAGCAGCUCUGCUCUAGCAUACUGUGAACGUUCUUGGGGCCACUUAGUCUAUCUUAUAAACAUUUCAAUGGAAUUUGAGAAAAUAUGGAUUCUCUGUAUACUACAAAACACUAUAAAUCUAGUAAUUGAGUUUUCUUAUUAUGCUUUCCAAUCCUCUGUAUUCUUGAAUUCUUUUUUGAAUUUGAUGUGUGUGAGUUUCUGUAGAAGGAAUAUCAAAGUCUUCUCUACCAUGUGGACUUGACAAUUUUUCUUCAUAUUCCUAAUACAUAGCAAUAUUAUUCUGUUUAUUGUUCAUAACUGUUAAAUCUUGGUGAAUUGUACUCGUUAUAAAAAACACAUAAUUUUACUUUAUUGAACUUUUACAUUAAAUUCUGCUUUGUCUUAUUUCUAUAUUACCAC
This 1560-nucleotide long non-coding RNA is filed under the name Marmota monax (woodchuck). Lineage: Eukaryota; Metazoa; Chordata; Mammalia; Rodentia; Sciuridae. The record is from RNAcentral.